This 468-nucleotide ribosomal RNA is filed under the name uncultured bacterium. RNAcentral's name for it is "partial 16S ribosomal RNA". It matches the Rfam family "Bacterial small subunit ribosomal RNA", at positions 28 to 507 of the family's 1533-position model. The record is from RNAcentral.
GACGAACGCUGGCGGCGUGCUUAACACAUGCAAGUCGAACGGAAAGGCCCUGCUUUUGUGGGGUGCUCGAGUGGCGAACGGGUGAGUAACACGUGAGUAACCUGCCCUUGACUUUGGGAUAACUUCAGGAAACUGGGGCUAAUACCGGAUAGGAGCCCCCCCUCCAUGGGGGGGGUGGGAAAUUUUCGCCGGUUGGGGAUGACCUCGCGGCUUAUCAGCUUGUUGGUGGGGUAGUGGCUUACCAAGGCUUCGACGGGUAGCCGGCCUGAGAGGGUGACCGGCCACAUUGGGACUGAGAUACGGCCCAGACUCCUACGGGAGGCAGCAGUGGGGGAUAUUGCACAAUGGGCGGAAGCCUGAUGCAGCAACGCCGCGUGCGGGAUGACGGCCUUCGGGUUGUAACCCGCUUUCGCCUGUGACGAAGCGUGAGUGACGGUAAUGGGUAAAGAAGCACCGGCUACCUACGUG